Non-coding RNA from Delphinapterus leucas (beluga whale), 4926 nucleotides. Lineage: Eukaryota; Metazoa; Chordata; Mammalia; Artiodactyla; Monodontidae. The record is from RefSeq and is a predicted model, not a curated record.
GGGGUGCACGCACGCGCUGUAAGAGGCCAGGAGGUGCGGCGACGAGGUGGAGGCCGCGGGGAAGCGCCGGGGGCGUGAGGAAGAGGGAAUAAACCCAAAGUUUCAGUGACUUGGCCAAGGUCACGGAGGAGAUUCCCGGGCUUUCCACCGCUACGCACAACUUUCUGUAAUACCAUCUGCGCUCCUGAGGCUGGCUACGCUCCAAGUAUCGUCGUAAGAAAUGUGUUUGACCCUCCCAUCCUCACCCCAUGUUUUCACGAGAACCUAAUGGCCCUUGAAAAGGUGACAGAAUAUUCAGUGGGACUCCACCUGAAUUUGGGGAGUGAUUCAUAUAACCAUUGAUGGAUAUGGUGCCUGUUGGAACUGUGUGCCUGAAGAAGAGGAUCCCAUUUAGGACAUCACAUUACAUUUCAUCAUUAUGUCUCCUUAAGUUCCUCCUGAUUACGAUGAUUUCUCAGACUUUCCUUGUUUUUGAUGACCUUGACAGUUUCGCGGAGUACUGGUAAGUUAUUUUGUAGAGCGCUGCUCAGGUGGGAUUUGUCUGAGGUUUUUCUCAUAAUUAGAGUGGGCCUGUUGGGUUUUGGAAGGAAGACCACAGAGGUGAAGUGUAAUUCUCAUCACGUCCUAUCAAGGUACACGCGAGCAACAUGACUUACCACCAGGAUGUUAAUAGGAUGAUGUCUUACUUUACUGGGGAAGCAGGGAGCUCGCUGAAGGAUGGGCCAGAACCCCAGCCCCCAAGCGUGUGUAGGAGAGGUUGUAGGGGGAGGGGCCUGAGCCCCAGAGCACAGAAACCUGACGAAGCAGGGACCUGUUCCUCUUGGGAAAUCCCGGUGGUUUACACUGCCUAGUAAUGAGAUUGCUUCCAAAGCGGGAAAGCGUGCCCUGUGCCUGGUCCCAUCGGGGGCCUGGUGAGUGGAUGCCCUUCGAUGCUCAGGAAGGGUUUUGACAGUGCUGCAAGGAAGCCCAGGGACCCUCUGUGUUUGGGGGGCGGAAGGGGUAUGGGGGUUCAGGUGACAGUAAUUUAUGAACAAGGAUAUUUGCUUAGCGGGCAGAGGCUAUGUAUAAAAUGUAAGCCCCCUGAAGGGAGCAUCCUAAGUAAAUUAAGGCACAAGCAUUAUACAGAUAUGGCACAAAACCAGCUGGUAGGAGAAACAUGCCUGAGGUUUGAAUCCAAGUGUUAGAAGGCGCAGAGCAUGGGGACAUCCCAGGCUAGGCUGAAAAGUGUUCACCACGGCUCAGGGCUGCAAGGCUGGAAGGCAGGAGCCAGCUGGGUCUGUAACGAGGCUGUCUGCACAGCACACGGGACCUCAGCUCUGCUCCGCUCCCUCUCUCCACCAGGCCUUGGGGAUGGAGGGUCACAUCUCUACUCGUUUCCCCUUGUUCGCAUUCCAGGACUCCGCCUGGCGUGGGGGCUGGAAUUCUUUCAGGCCCGGGGUUUCUACAUGAGCUCCUAUGUGGAAAGUCGCUGGGCUGCUCCAGGAUGUCCUCUGCUGUGCCCCAUCCUGUCCUCCUUAUCACAGCUGCAGGCGGCCUGAGCCACAUUCCUCCUGCCUGAGUCAUUGCCCCAGGCCCCAGGCUGCCUUUCCUCCAGCUUGGCCUAGGGGCCAGCCCCUGUCCAGCCCAUCUUGUUGCUUGUCCCUUUAUUAGUCAAGAAUGCUACGGAUUUAUUUUUAUUGCCUGUAUGGAAUGGCAGCUAUUAGCCAAAGAAAAUUUUCCAUACGUUAAGUUCUUCCCUUUCCUUUUCAGCAUCCUUCUCAUCAAGAUCUAGCCUAUCUCAUCCCUACUGGGCCCUACUCCUAAUCACAGCAUUAUCUGUAUAUUUUUUAACUUAGGUUUCCUUGAUGGUUAUAACACCAUUUGAUCAAAAGUCUAAGCUAUGUUUUUAGGUUUAGCCCGUGCACUCCCAUCCACCCACUGGUGGACUUCUGACCUCCUCCUUGUUGCUUGUUGAUGUCUUAUCCCCUAGAGCACCUUACUAACCCUCCUAUGGCAGAAGGCUUCCAUUCCCCAUAUGAGUGGAUGAAUGAAUGAAGGGGAACAAACACAAUGUUGCCUAAUGCCAAGUGAUUUUGAAUUUGUUGAAUUAACUGGAAAAUUUGACACCAGGUGGAUCUUAUUUAUCCUAGAUAAUUGGCAGGCCCCUGGAAUCCUGUCAUAUUCAAGUUUAAAAUACCCCUAAUACAUAAUUUGGGGCUAAAUUUUGUGCUAAUUACUAGAUUCUAGAUAAGCAACAAGACAUUAUGGUGGUUUUGGAAAAGGUAUGGAAGGAAAACUUAAAAUUGAAAACAUUCUUUCCAUGGCCAUUGACAUUUUUACCCAGAAAUUACAGUGAGACUGCCUAGUAUCCCCACAGCAUAACUUAAGUCAGGGGGUAUUUAUUCUGAGCGCAACCCUCUUACCUUUGAGAAUUAUUCUCUAAACAUGGAAUGCCCACUAUGUAUCACGCAAGAUGGUUAGUCAUUUCUAGUCAUUUUUCCCUAAAAGAGGAAAUACCCCCUAGUGUCCUCACUCCUACUCUCUCCGUGGCCUAGCCAUCAGAUGUCUACCAAGCUCUACCAUGCGCCGGAUGCUCUCAGAGCCAGGCUCCCUGCCCUUAAAGGGCUCAGCCUGGCGACCAUGCAAGGCAUCUAGCACGGAGCCUGUGGACCGCCAGAGCUAGCGGGCGUGUGUGUGUGUGACAGGGAAGGGACAGGGAAGCUUUCUGGAGGAGGUAACUGCUAAGCUGAGUGCUGAGGGAUAAGGGAACUCUCCAAGCUGUGGCAGACAAGGAACGAGCUCGCCACGUUGUGGGAAAUGAAAUGCUGUGUUGGACACAACUUAUUUGAAAGGAGACAUUAGGCCAGAAAUUUAAAUGGGAAUUAAGAAGCAGUCUUCCAUAUCCAGGACAUAGUUCUGCGGUAAAGCCAGGAUGCCAAGUCUCCAUCCCUUCAUCAGGAUCUGCUCCUCAAGAAGUGGUGAGGCUUGGUGAAUGAGGAUUCCAGAGAAGCCAGGGCACAUCCUCCCAGACACCUUUCUCCUUCCCGGCAGCCUCAUGACCAGCUUGGACCAUGACUCCCGUGCAGCCCUGGGCAGACAUCCCAAUAUCCCUGGGCCUCAGUCUCCUUCAUGGUUAAAAUUGGAGCAGUGAUGCUCCCCAGUUAGGAGCUGUUUCUCUGAGUUCUUGUCCUAGCUUUUGUAAAAUGCAGGCACCUAAAUGAGUUCAUGCUGGUCUCAGCAUUGUGUAUAGGUAACAGGAAGUGUUUGCCCAUGGUGAGGGCGUGUGUAGACAGCAUGGGGUUGGGCCCUUCCUUACAGAGGGACCUGCACAUGGGUGGGAGGGAGAGGAAGCAGUGCCUGGCUUAGAGCUUUGCUUCUGGCCCCGCCAGUCCCCAGUUACUCUGAUUUAACAGACAAAACAGAAGCUCUAGUUUCUGGAAUGAUCCUGGGUCACAGACUCUUCAGAAAUGGAAGGUACCUCACCACUCAUCACUCCCACCCUUGAUUUAGUCCAGUCAGUUUCUGUUCUUUUCCAUUAGCUCCAAUGACUUAGACGGGAACAAAGCAGUAGGCUAAAUAAAUAUCAUUAUCUGGCAAAGCCAUGAAGCAUUUUCCACCUAGUUGUUGGUGCUCACUCAAUUACUUGUGAAGCGUGUAAGUCGCGCAAGCCUCACUGCUGGGGGUGGUGAUGGCAGUGAAAGGUGGUUUAGAAGAAAUGUGUCCACCCAGUCUUCUCCUUUAGAGAAAGUGUAUUGCUUAGGGUUCUCCAGAGACACAGAACCGGUUGGAUGUGUGUAUACAUGUAGAUGUAGAAGGAGAGAGAUUUAUUUUAGGGAAUUGGCUCACGUGAUAGUGGGGCUGGCAAGACUGCAGUGUGAAGGGCAGGCCAGCAGGCUGGAGAUCCAGGGAAGAGCUGAGGUUGCAGCUUGAGUCCAAAGGCAGCGUGAAGGCAGAAUUUCUCUUCCAGGGCCCUCCAUCUUUUUCUCUGAAGACCUUCAACUGACUGGAUGAGUCCCACCCAUAUUAUGGAGAGUAAAGUGCUUUACUCAAAGUUCACUGGCUUAAAUGUUAAUCUCAUCUAAAAAAUACUCUCACAGUGACUUCUAGACUGCUGUUUGACUAGAUAUCUGGGCACUGUGGCCACCAGGUUGCACACAGAGUUAACCGCCACGGAACAGUCCUGGCAUGGUCAUUUCGGCGUUCUCGUGGUACAUCCAGGCAGAGACCCUGUGCUCCGUCUCACCCUCCUCAGGUAGCUCCAGGCCAGCCUUCUGCCAGAGGAAGCAGGGGCUGAAAGGAGCCCUGGGCCUGGAUGGAGGGGCCUGGCUCACUGCCCUCGCUGCCUGCUGGUAGCCAUGCAGUUUCUCCUCUUGGACUUCAGGUUCCGUGGGCGUAAAGUGGACAUGCCGCUCUACCCGCCUCACGGGAGCUACGUGAGCAUUAAAUGGAAAUACCGUUUGCAUUCCGUUAAGUGCAGUCAUUGCGCUGUCGGGAGGAGCCAGCAUUCCUGACUUGGAGCGGGGCAGAGAGGGUCCCUCAUGCUGAUGGGUGGCGUGGGGAGGUGGGGACUUCCCUCAUGGACCGAGGCAGCAUGGGGAGGAGCGUCCACCCUCAAGGACGAGCCUGAGCUCUGCCUGCGGGAAAUACUCCCAACCCAGAGCUCCUAAAUUGAGCUUUUUGCUCUUUUAAAAUUACUAUAUGUUCUUUCCAAAAAUUCCAAAAUUUCAGGGUAAAAACUUCCCCUCCUUCAUCACUCCUUCCCCAAAUCCACACCCUUCUCCGAAGGAGGCAACUGUUAACUCCUUGGCAUGAAUCAUUUCACACCCCUUCUCACUGAUUUCUUUUGUCACUACAAAAAAUGGGGUUUGUCUAUGGUUUUGUGAUUUUUAAAAUUCACUUAGCAAUAUACCAUAUGUGCUUUUUCGUGUCUCUAUCUGACUUUUUGUA